RNAcentral lists this ribosomal RNA (444 nucleotides) under uncultured bacterium. Its description in RNAcentral is "bacterial SSU rRNA". It matches the Rfam family "Bacterial small subunit ribosomal RNA", at positions 958 to 1398 of the family's 1533-position model. The record is from RNAcentral.
AACGCGAAGAACCUUACCAACCUUUGACAUCCCGAUCGCGGACACCAGAGAUGGAGUCCUUCAGUUCGGCUGGAUCGGAGACAGGUGCUGCAUGGCUGUCGUCAGCUCGUGUCGUGAGAUGUUGGGUUAAGUCCCGCAACGAGCGCAACCCUCGCCCUUAGUUGCCAUCAUUUAGUUGGGCACUCUAAGGGGACUGCCGGUGAUAAGCCGCGAGGAAGGUGGGGAUGACGUCAAGUCCUCAUGGCCCUUACAGGUUGGGCUACACACGUGCUACAAUGGCGGUGACAGUGGGACGCAAAGGGGCAACCCUGUGCAAAUCUCAAAAAGCCGUCUCAGUUCGGAUUGUGCUCUGCAACUCGAGCACAUGAAGUUGGAAUCGCUAGUAAUCGCAGAUCAGCACGCUGCGGUGAAUACGUUCCCGGGCCUUGUACACACCGAGACGUA